AUUGGACGCUGGCGGCAGGCCUAACACAUGCAAGUCGAGCGGCAGCGGAAAGUAGCUUGCUACUUUGCCGGCGAGCGGCGGACGGGUGAGUAAUGUCUGGGAAACUGCCUGAUGGAGGGGGAUAACUACUGGAAACGGUAGCUAAUACCGCAUAACGUCGCAGGACCAAAGAGGGGGACCUUCGGGCCUCUUGCCAUCAGAUGUGCCCAGAUGGGAUUAGCUAGUAGGUGGGGUAACGGCUCACCUAGGCGACGAUCCCUAGCUGGUCUGAGAGGAUGACCAGCCACACUGGAACUGAGACACGGUCCAGACUCCUACGGGAGGCAGCAGUGGGGAAUAUUGCACAAUGGGCGCAAGCCUGAUGCAGCCAUGCCGCGUGUAUGAAGAAGGCCUUCGGGUUGUAAAGUACUUUCAGCGGGGAGGAAGGUGUUGUGGUUAAUAACCACAGCAAUUGACGUUACCCGCAGAAGAAGCACCGGCUAACUCCGUGCCAGCCGCCGCGGUAA
RNAcentral lists this ribosomal RNA (506 nucleotides) under uncultured bacterium. RNAcentral describes it as "partial 16S ribosomal RNA". It matches the Rfam family "Bacterial small subunit ribosomal RNA", at positions 30 to 523 of the family's 1533-position model. The record is from RNAcentral.